AUGAUAACAAGGGGAGAGACCGUUUACGGCGCCGAAGGAGCAAACAUGAUUUCAUGUGAAUCUCUCAGGCAAAAAGACUCUUGUUGGACG
This 90-nucleotide non-coding RNA is filed under the name Jeotgalibacillus soli. RNAcentral describes it as "Glycine sequence". It matches the Rfam family "Glycine riboswitch aptamer". Rfam says of the family: This family represents the bacterial glycine riboswitch. Lineage: Bacteria; Bacillati; Bacillota; Bacilli; Caryophanales; Caryophanaceae. The record is from Rfam by way of RNAcentral.